CGGGGCUGUUGUAAGGACUUGUGGAGGAUGGGAGCGCUGCGGAAGAUUGCAGGGCUUCUGCGUGGUUGCGGGGCUUCCCUUAGCCUCGUCAACCAGGAUUGGUCCGUGGGGCAACGCUAGACCCUCACCUGAAGCCCAUUCCUGUUCACGCCAGUCUGCUACUCCAGUCACCGUUAGGAAAACGUUGCCGGCCAGGCGCGAGCAAAUUCUUGGAAGCAGUCCUUGUUACAACGUGACAAAUUUCCAAUUCAAAUAAUUUUUUUUUUCUAAAGCAUACUACCUUUAAGAUAUCUUUUUGAUGUACUGGUCGACUGUUUAUGAAGAUGAAACUUCUUUCUGGUGUUGAAAGACUAGUGAAAGAGUGGUCUGCAUCACACUUUGGAAGAAAUCCACUGAGAUAAAUCUAUAUAAUAAUUACAGAAUAUGCAAUGUCAACAAUGUAGUUCCACGGGUCUGGCUAUAUA
RNAcentral lists this long non-coding RNA (464 nucleotides) under Pan troglodytes (chimpanzee). RNAcentral describes it as "long non-coding RNA NONPTRT011111". Lineage: Eukaryota; Metazoa; Chordata; Mammalia; Primates; Hominidae. The record is from RNAcentral.